UGGUUGAAGGGUAAAACACCUGCUUAGGAAGCACGAGGCCCUGAGUUCAAACCCCAG
This 57-nucleotide transfer RNA is filed under the name Dipodomys ordii (Ord's kangaroo rat). It matches the Rfam family "tRNA", at positions 8 to 63 of the family's 71-position model. From Rfam's summary of the family: Transfer RNA (tRNA) molecules are approximately 80 nucleotides in length. Their secondary structure includes four short double-helical elements and three loops (D, anti-codon, and T loops). The record is from Rfam by way of RNAcentral. Lineage: Eukaryota; Metazoa; Chordata; Mammalia; Rodentia; Heteromyidae.